Molecule: long non-coding RNA, 5356 nt
Filed under: Homo sapiens (human)
Lineage: Eukaryota; Metazoa; Chordata; Mammalia; Primates; Hominidae
Description: HSALNT0011820
Source: RNAcentral
UUUUUAGAUGUUGAUUAUUUUACUAUUUCUUUAUUGUUUACCAUAGUUUACAUUAUACUUCAAAUUAUUAAAUUGUCAUGUAAAUCAGGACUGUUAGCACUUUGCAGACACUUUAUUUCUCUAAUAUCUUUUUACAUAUUGUUAUUGUUGUCAUUUAAAUCUACUUAUAUUUAAACACCAUGCAACAUCAUCGUUAUCGUCACAACAGUUAAUAUCCAAUUAUAUUUAUCCAAGUAUUUUUUUCUUUUUUCUUGAUCCUUAUUCUUUCCUUUGUUUACCUCUAUCUUAGAUCGUUUUUCUUUUUCCUAAAGAUCCUAUUUGAGGUCUUUUGUAUCUGUCUAAAAAUAUCUUCAUUUCAACUUAUUUUUUUUGAAGCACAUUAUUUUUGGUUUGUUAUAGUAAAAUAAUUGUUAGGAGUUUUUUUAUUGCUCUGUAAAGCAUUUUUACAAUUGACAUUGGGCUUUCUUCUCUCUCUCCUCUCUCUGUCUCUCUCUGUGUGUGUGUAUGUGUGUGUUUGAAUUUGCUAUUAGUAUUAUAGAUAGCACUUUAUAAGCAGUGCUCCUUUUUUCUUUGGUUGAUUUUUAAAGAUUUUGUAUUUGUUUUUGACAAUCAAGAUUUUUACAUAAUUUGUCUAAAUUUUUUGGGUUUUUUUUUUGCUCUGUUUUAUUUUGCCCCAUAUUUAUAUCACUUUUUGAAUCUGUGGCAUGUUUUAAGUCAGUUUUGGAAAACAUGCAUAUCUCUUCAAGUUUUCUGUUCUCCUUCCUAUUUCUUCUCCUCCUUCAAAAAUGAGGGUACUUUAAUUUUUUUUUAACUUUAUCUCAUGUUCUCUUUGGUGGUUUCUUGUAUUUUCUGUUUGGAUUAUUUACAUAACAGCUUUGUGAAGUUUACAAGUUGCCAAAUAACUUGAAAGAAAUAUCAGUACAGCAAUGUAACCACUGUAUAAGUAAGAACUUGGUCUAGAUGCAUCAGUGGUGUCAUAUAUUUGCAGCUGCCUUCUUGAAUCACAGCCGUUGCUGAUCAUAUACUGGAGUGAUCGUUCUUGGAGGAAAAGUGACAUUUGGGAAAUGACUGGAUUCUGGUUCUGAGGUAUUGCUUGCAUUUUAUAAUCCAGGAAACCAAAUGGUCCUUCCCUCAGAAUGGGCAUCAUUGAAUUAAGAAAAGGAAUGUAAUUUGGACACAAAUCUCUCUUGCCAUACAUUCUUGAAGUUGUGCUAUGAAAAUGCAUCCACUCUGAGUAUUCUCACAAUUCUGGGAUAUUUGUCAGAAGAAAAUGUUUCUGACAUUUAAAUCUACUUAGCUUGUUUCAUGGGUCAGUGAAAAAAGCAUAGGAAUCUUGAAAGAAUAACAAUGUAUUAUUAUAAAUAUAAUUAGGUGAUAAAAGUAAUAUAUGAUGCUUUUCAGUUGUCUCAUAUAAUGGAGCAAAUCAGUCUACAUCAUUUUGUGUGUUUCACAACCUCUGAGCUGGCCAAUAAGCAGAAAAUAAUACUCAAUAUAAGUUUCAGCCUGUAAGAGACAGGGACACAUCCUCAUUCUUUAUCCUUAAAUCCAAUAAAAAUGUAUGCUUCUCUGUUAUAAUUUAGUUGCAUACUUUCUUAUACUUGCAUUUAUGUUGAUGACAUCCAGAUUAUGUAACCUGAGGAACAGUGAGUAAAGAGUAGUUGAGAAGACUCAGUAAGAUCCAUGCAUGUUAAAAGAUAAGAGUAAAGUGUUACAAAAAUCUGAGGAACUAUAUAACUGCAGUUUUUAGAGUAUCAGAAGUCUUGAGCAUGCCAGUAUACUCUUCCUAAAAUUAAAAGAAAAAAAAAAAGCAAGUACUAUUUUUUUUGUCUAUCUGAGCACAAUAGCCAGUGACCCCAUUGAAUUUUGGAGGAUAAAUAUACCACCUCAUAUGCAUGGACCUAGCUCAUAAGAUUUCUAGAUUUUUGGGAAAAUGGCCAAGAGGAAAGUGAAUUUCUCCAGGCAUUUCAGACCAUGAUGCAAGCAGCUCUGACCUUGAGUAAAUACAAUGUUGUUUGAAGUAUCUGUGGCAGAUCAGGUUGCCUUAUGAAGACUGAAACAAUUAUAACAGGAAAACUAUAUAAUAUGUUUCUAGAAUUUUAUAGCAAAAACUUUUUUUUCUAUAAACUUUUUAUUCUUAUUUUGAGAAACAGUUGCUAUACUGUUGUUGAGAUAAACUGAACACUAGAUCUUACAACAUCAGAAUCUAUACAAAAUGACCUCCCUAUCAUGAUUUAAGGGUUCUCUGAUACAGCAAACCAUAAAGUUGAGUAUGUGCAGCAGUGCUCCAUCUCCAUUGAAAACACAUACAAAGAAAGGCAUUUGUUUCAAUUCCUAAAAACACAAGUAAUGUACAUGAGCACGUGAUUGGUUUAUCUAAUCCUCUUAUAUCAGUAGUACUUUCACAUUUUCCUCAUGUACAUACUCAUGAAUCUGUGCAAAUAUCCAGUUUCCUAAGGAAGGAAAAAGUCCUGGUUUAUAGACAGUUUCAAGUGAUAUAUUGGCACUAGCGAGGAGCAAUAAGCCUCUUUUUUGUAAUUCCCUCCAGUGAGUAGAAUUUUCAGACUUUAAACUAAGGAUGAUAUUACUGAAAAUUUUUUUAAAAAAUGGAAAGCUGGAAAAUAAAUGCCUUAAAUGAAGAUUUAAACUUGAUUUUCAUUAAUAUUUGUAGAUGUAUUAUUAUAAUUAUGGUGAAUAAUAUUGUUCAAAGUUGAUUUAUGAAGUUUAUGUAUUAAGAGAAAAAUUAGCAAGUCACAUAAAAGGAUAAAUAAAUAAAAAUGAAAAAAUCAUUAAUCCUGAAUAAAAUGUACAGGAAAAGAAAUAUAGCUAUACGUGAAUGAGACAACUCACAAUUAUUCAGUGAUAUUAUCAUCAAUUUGACUUAUAGAUUCUCAAUGCAGUGGACUACUUUAUAGCAUUUGACAGUUUAGUUUAAUUUUUAAAUAAAAAUUAGAAAAAAACCCAAAAUCUAACCCAUACUGAAAAUAAGAAUAUAUCUAAAUGCUAUACCUUGCAGUUGUACAUAUUGUAAGGCACACGUGAUACUCUGAUACAAGCAAAUGUAUUUAUGUAUAAUAAAUCAAGGUAAUUGGGAUAUCCAUAGCCUCAAGCAUGUAUCUUUUUUGAGUGUUAGAAAUGUUCCAAUUCUGCUCUUCUGGUUAUUUUGAAAUAUACAAUAAAAUAUUAACUGUAUUUGCCCUAUUGUGUCACAAAACACUGGAUCUUACUCCUUUUAACUACAUUUUUCUACCUGUUAAUCAUCCCUUCUGUAUCUCUCCCUCACCACGACCCUUCCCAGCCUCUGAUAACUGUCAUUCUACUCUCUAUAUCUAGGUGUUCAAUUUUUUGUUAGCUCCCACAUAUACAUAAGAACAUGCAAUUUUUUUUUUCUGUUUGUGGCUUAUUUCACUUAACAUAAUGCCCUCCAAUUCUAACUAUGUUGUUGCAAAUGAAGUGAUCUCAUUUGUUUUUUAUUGCUGAAUAUGGUUUUAUAUUUUUUAUCUCAUUCAUUUUUAUGUUUCCAUUGUGUAUAUAUGCCAAAUUUUCUGUGUCAAGUCAUCUAUUGAUAGACACUUAUGUUGAUUCCAUACCUUGGCUAUUAUGAAUAAUGCUGCAAUAAACAUCAGAGUAUAGAUAUUUAAUAUGUUCAUUUCAUUUUUUAAAAAAUAUAUAGCUAUCAGUGACAUUGCUGGGUUAUAUAGUAGUUCUACUUUUUGUUUGAAGGGAAACUUUAUACUGUGCUUCACGUGGCUGUACCUAUUCACACUCCCAUUAAUAUUGUAAGAGGGAUGCCCUUUCUCCACAUUCUUGCCAGCAUCUAAUAUUGCCUGUCUUUUUGAUAAAAGCCAUUUAACUUGGGUGAGAGAUGAUCUCAUUGUAGCUUCAAUUUUUAUGUCUCUGAUGAUUUGUGAUGUUGAGCAUUUUUUAUAUGUCUGUUGGUCAUUUGUAUGUCUUCUUUUGAGAAAUUUGUAUUCAUACAUUUUGCCUAUUUUAAAUUGAAUCAUUAUGGUUUUUUCCUUAUUAAAGUGUUUGAAUUCUGUAUAUACUCUGGUUAUUAAUCUCUUGUCAGAUGUGUAGUUUGAAAACCAACCUUAAUGUCCUCAAUCUCAUUACCAUUUUACUUUCUAGCUUUAUGAAUUGUACUACUUGAAGUAGCUCAUAUAUGCAGAAUCAUACAAUAUUGCCUUUUUGUCACUGACAUUUCACUUAGCAUAACGUUCUUGUUUUAUCAGUGUGAUAUCAUAUGUCAGGAAUUUUUAUUUUUUAAUAUUUAUUGGUACAUAGGUGUAUAUAUUUAUAGGGCAUAGGGAAUAUUUUGAUACAGGCAUACAAUGUGCGAUAAUAACAUCAGAAUAAAUGAGAUACCUAUCACCUCAAGCAUUUAUCCUUUGUAUUACAAACAAUGCAUUACAUGUAUACAUCACAUUUUGCUUCUCCAUCAAUCUACUGAUGAAUAUUUAGUUUCUUCGACAUUUUAGUUUAUGUUAAUAAGGUAGAAAUGAACAUGUGUAUAAAAAUAUCUCUUAGAGACUCUCCUUUUAUUUAUUAUUUAUUUAUUUAUUUAUUUUUGAGACAGAAUCUUGCUCUGUGGCCCAGGCUGGAGUACAGUGGCGCAGUCUCGGCUCACUGCAACUUCUGCCUCCCGGGUUCAAGAGAUUCUCCUGCUUCAACCUCCCAAGUAGCUGGGAUUACAGGUGCCCGCCAACAUGUCCUGCUAAUCUUUGUAUGUUUAGUAGAGACGGGUUUCACCAUGUUGACCAGGCUGGUCUCGAACUCCUGACCUAAAGUGAUCCAACCAUCUCAGCCUCCCAAAGUUCUGGGGUUACAGGCAUGAGCCACUGCACCUGGUCUUAAAUCUUUUAUCUAUGUAUACUCAGAAAUGGAAUUGUUGGAUAAUAUAGUAAUUCUAUUUUCUAAUUUUUGAGGAACCACAAUAUUGUUUUCCAAAGUAGCUACACCAUUUUAGACUUCUACCAAUAAUGCACAGGGUUCCCGUUUCUCCACACCCUCACCACCAUUUGCUAUUUUCUGUGUAUGUGUGUUUGUGUGUGUUUCACAGUAACCAUAAUGGGUUUGAAGUGAUAUCAAAUUGUGUUUUUGAUUUGCAUUUUCCUAAGAAGUGAUGUUUAUGUACUUAUUGGUCAUUUGUAUAUAUUCUUUGAAGAAACAUUUUAGGAGUUUUACAUAAGUUCUGAAUAUUAAUUCCUUAUCAGAUAAAUGAUUUACAAAUAUUUUCUCCCAUUUUGUGAAAUGCUUUUUUACUCUGUUAAUAGUGUCUUUGAUAAAAACAAUUGUUUAAUUAUUUUGAAGUCCAAUUUAUGUAUUUUUCUUCUUUUGUUGUCUAUACUUUUGAUGUUAC